CCUACGGGUGGCUGCAGUGGGGAAUAUUGCACAAUGGGGGAAACCCUGAUGCAGCGACGCCGCGUGAGUGAAGAAGUAAUUCGUUACGUAAAGCUCUAUCAGCCGGGAAGCAACACUGACCUUACGGUCAGCAGACGGUACCUGAGUAAGAAGCCCCGCCUCACUACGUGCCAGCAGCCGCGGUAAUACGUCGGGGGCAAGCGUUAUCCGGAUUUACUUGGUGUAAAGGGAGCGUAGACGGUGCGCCAAGUCUGGUGUGAAAUGCCGCAGCUUAACUUAGGAACUGCUUUUGAAACUGGCGAACUAGAGUGCGGGAGGGGUAAGCGGAAUGCGGAGGGGAGCGGUGAAAUGCGUAGAUAUUAGGAGGAACACCGGUGGCGAAGGCGGCUUACUGGACCGUAACUGACGUUGAGGCUCGAAAGCGUGGGGAGCAAACAGGAUUAGAUACCCUAGUAGUC
This 458-nucleotide ribosomal RNA is filed under the name uncultured bacterium. RNAcentral's name for it is "partial 16S ribosomal RNA". It matches the Rfam family "Bacterial small subunit ribosomal RNA", at positions 338 to 795 of the family's 1533-position model. The record is from RNAcentral.